Molecule: ribosomal RNA, 252 nt
Filed under: uncultured bacterium
Lineage: Bacteria
Description: partial 16S ribosomal RNA
Rfam family: Bacterial small subunit ribosomal RNA
Source: RNAcentral
UACGUAGGUCCCGAGCGUUGUCCGGAUUUAUUGGGCGUAAAGCGAGCGCAGGUGGUUUAUUAAGUCUGGUGUAAAAGGCAGUGGCUCAACCAUUGUAUGCAUUGGAAACUGGUAGACUUGAGUGCAGGAGAGGAGAGUGGAAUUCCAUGUGUGGCGGUGAAAUGCGUAGAUAUAUGGAGGAACACCGGUGGCGAAAGCGGCUCUCUGGCCUGUAACUGACACUGAGGCUCGAAAGCGUGGGGAGCAAACAGG